Molecule: transfer RNA, 59 nt
Filed under: Ligilactobacillus salivarius
Lineage: Bacteria; Bacillati; Bacillota; Bacilli; Lactobacillales; Lactobacillaceae
Description: Lactobacillus salivarius tRNA-Ser
Rfam family: tRNA
About the family: Transfer RNA (tRNA) molecules are approximately 80 nucleotides in length. Their secondary structure includes four short double-helical elements and three loops (D, anti-codon, and T loops). Further hydrogen bonds mediate the characteristic L-shaped molecular structure. tRNAs have two regions of fundamental functional importance: the anti-codon, which is responsible for specific mRNA codon recognition, and the 3' end, to which the tRNAs corresponding amino acid is attached (by aminoacyl-tRNA synthetases). tRNAs cope with the degeneracy of the genetic code in two manners: having more than one tRNA (with a specific anti-codon) for a particular amino acid; and 'wobble' base-pairing, i.e. permitting non-standard base-pairing at the 3rd anti-codon position.
Source: RNAcentral
UUGGUUAGAGCAGACGGCUCAUAACCGUCCGGUCGUAGGUUCGAGUCCUACAAGGUCCA